This 466-nucleotide ribosomal RNA is filed under the name uncultured bacterium. RNAcentral's name for it is "partial 16S ribosomal RNA". It matches the Rfam family "Bacterial small subunit ribosomal RNA", at positions 28 to 507 of the family's 1533-position model. The record is from RNAcentral.
GAUGAACGCUGGCGGCGUGCUUAACACAUGCAAGUCGAACGGAAAGGCCCAAGCUUGCUUGGGUGCUCGAGUGGCGAACGGGUGAGUAACACGUGGGUGAUCUGCCCUGCACUUUGGGGUAAGCCUGGGAAACUGGGUCUAAUACCGGAUAGGACCAUCGUUUAGUGUCGGUGGUGGAAAGUGUUUCGGUGUGGGAUGAGCUCGCGGCCUAUCAGCUUGUUGGUGGGGUAAUGGCCUACCAAGGCGUCGACGGGUAGCCGGCCUGAGAGGGUGUACGGCCACAUUGGGACUGAGAUACGGCCCAGACUCCUACGGGAGGCAGCAGUGGGGAAUAUUGCACAAUGGGCGCAAGCCUGAUGCAGCGACGCCGCGUGGGGGAGGACGGCCUUCGGGUUGGAAACUCCUUUCGCCAAGGACGAAGCGUUUUGUGACGGUACUUGGAGAAGAAGCACCGGCUAACUACGUG